Long non-coding RNA from Triticum aestivum (bread wheat), 1003 nucleotides. RefSeq lists it as uncharacterized. NCBI's taxonomy places the organism in Eukaryota, Viridiplantae, Streptophyta, Magnoliopsida, Poales, Poaceae. The record is from RefSeq and is a predicted model, not a curated record. The transcript is spliced from 3 exons.
CGUUUUUUCCGUCGGAGCGGGCGACGGAAGGCGGAGGGCGCGUCGGAGAGCAGCCUCUUCCCGGCAGCGGCGAUGGCGGGCUUGUUCCUCGCAGCGGCAACGACAGGCUUGUUCCUCUCGGCGGCAGCGGCGGGCUUGUCCCUUGCGGCGGUGGUGGCGGGGCACCUGCGUGAGGGAAGGGAAGCAGCUGCAGCAACGGCCGCGUGGGCAAAGAGAACCAGCUUCGGUAGCAGAGGGGCGCAAGAUCUGCUGCCGCAACAGAUGCCUAGGGUUCCACCUUCUCCGACCCCAACCAGCUCUGCCGCAGCCAGCGAGAUCUCGCUCUCACCGUCAACACCAGCAAAGGCCAACCUGUGCUUGGUAAGGCAUAUGGUUACAUCAGAGGUCGGGGUCAUGGACCAAAACCAAAUAGAAGGGCCUACUCAAGCGCAUCAAGCUCAACUCAGCAUGUAGUGGAAGAAUUGGCCUCUACAAAGGAGAUUGUUGCUACACAACAAGCUCAAAUUGAGGCUCAACAAUCUCAACUUGAAGCUCAACAGAAGAAGAUCGAUUGGCUACAGAGUGUCGUGUCUAACUUGGUUGGCAUUUCACCUCCUAUGACGGCACUAGUGCAACAGGGAUAGGUUUCACAACUGAGCGGCCAAUGCCAUCUGACGGAAUAGAUAUGCAACACAUCAAUCUCAACUAUUUUUGUCAUUUUUUAUUCACAGAAAAUACAUGUAGCAUAUUGCUUUUGAUAAAGCAUUCCAAUUUCUGCCAUAGGUUCGCUGAUGUCUAACACUGUACAAAGGAUGUCAAGUUAUCCAAGAUCAUUUGCAAGGAGAUGACCUUGGAGGAGCAGCGGAAAGCAAUACUCGCGCUAAAGACUGAGGAGAGAAAACUAUUGCCUCUGCAUUUCUUGCACAUCUAGUAGACUAUGUUGGAUCUAAAUAAAAACAAAAUUCAGUGUACAAAUGCUAAAUGUAAUGUUUGGAUCAUAUUGGGGUGUACUGAUUGGAUCAUA